GCCCGCUCAGUCAGUAGUUUGAUCCGUGGCUCGAGGACGAACGCUGGCGGCGUGCUUAACACAUGCAAGUCGAGCGGUAAGGCCCCUUCGGGGGGUACACGAGCGGCGAACGGGUGAGUAACACGUGAGCAAUCUGCCCAUCACAUCGGGAUAACUUCGGGAAACCGAAGCUAAUACCGGAUACGACCACUUCAGGCAUCUGACGGUGGUGGAAAGUUCCGGCGGUGAUGGAUGAGCUCGCGGCCUAUCAGCUUGUUGUGGGUAACGGCCACCAAGGCUUCGACGGGUAGCCGGCCUGAGAGGGUGACCGGCCACACUGGGACUGAGACACGGCCCAG
Molecule: ribosomal RNA, 338 nt
Filed under: uncultured bacterium
Lineage: Bacteria
Description: bacterial SSU rRNA
Rfam family: Bacterial small subunit ribosomal RNA
Source: RNAcentral